GACGAACGCUGGCGGCGUGCCUAAUACAUGCAAGUCGAACGCUGAAGGAGGAGCUUGCUCUUCUGGAUGAGUUGCGAACGGGUGAGUAACGCGUAGGUAACCUGCCUGGUAGCGGGGGAUAACUAUUGGAAACGAUAGCUAAUACCGCAUAAGAGUAGAUGUUGCAUGACAUUUACUUAAAAGGUGCAAUUGCAUCACUACCAGAUGGACCUGCGUUGUAUUAGCUAGUUGGUGGGGUAACGGCUUACCAAGGCGACGAUACAUAGCCGACCUGAGAGGGGGAUCGGCCAAACUGGGAACGAGACACGGCCCAGACUCCUACGGGAGGCAGCAGUAGGGAAUCUUCGGCAAUGGACGGAAGUCUGACCGGGCAACGCCGCGGGAGUGAAGAAGGGUUUCGGAUCGUAAAGCUCUGUUGUAAGAGAAGAACGAGUGUGAGAGGGGAAAGUUCACACUGUGACGGUAUCUUACCAGAAAGGGACGGCUAACUACGUG
RNAcentral lists this ribosomal RNA (495 nucleotides) under uncultured bacterium. RNAcentral's name for it is "partial 16S ribosomal RNA". It matches the Rfam family "Bacterial small subunit ribosomal RNA", at positions 28 to 507 of the family's 1533-position model. The record is from RNAcentral.